This 107-nucleotide small nuclear RNA is filed under the name Dasypus novemcinctus (nine-banded armadillo). The record is from RNAcentral. Lineage: Eukaryota; Metazoa; Chordata; Mammalia; Cingulata; Dasypodidae.
GUGCUUGCUUUGGCACCACAUAUGCUAAAACAGGAAUGAUACAGAAUAGAUUAGCAUGGCCCCUGUGCAAAGAUGACACGAAUAUUCACGAAGCGUUCUAUAUUAAA